This 446-nucleotide ribosomal RNA is filed under the name uncultured bacterium. RNAcentral describes it as "partial 16S ribosomal RNA". It matches the Rfam family "Bacterial small subunit ribosomal RNA", at positions 338 to 795 of the family's 1533-position model. The record is from RNAcentral.
CCUACGGGGGGCUGCAGUCGAGAAUCAUUCACAAUGGGGGAAACCCUGAUGGUGCGACGCCGCGUGGGGGAAUGAAGGUCUUCGGAUUUUAAACCCCUGUCAUGUGGGAGCAAAUUAAAAAGAUAGUACCACAAGAGGAAGAGACGGCUAACUCUGUGCCCGCAGCCGCGGUAAUACAGAGGUCGCAAGCGUUGUUCGGAAUCACUGGGCGUAAAGCGUGCGUAGGCUGUUUCGUAAGUCGUGUGUGAAAGGCGCGGGCUCAACCCGGGUACGGGACAUGAUACUGCGAGACUAGAGUAAUGGAGGGGGAACCGGAAUUCUCGGUGUAGCAGUGAAAUGCGUAGAUAUCGAGAGGAACACUCGUGGCGAAGGCGGGUUCCUGGACAUUAACUGACGCUGAGGCACGAAGGCCAGGGGAGCGAAAGGGAUUAGAUACCCCUGUAGUC